This is a long non-coding RNA of Armigeres subalbatus, 424 nucleotides long. RefSeq lists it as uncharacterized. The transcript has 3 exons. The record is from RefSeq and is a predicted model, not a curated record. NCBI's taxonomy places the organism in Eukaryota, Metazoa, Arthropoda, Insecta, Diptera, Culicidae.
CAGUGUAUUCAUCCGCAGUCAAAAGUUUCCCGCACCCGGUCUUCUCAGUUUUAUUAUUCAUCCGUCGCGAGUGGCAAUCGUUUGAACACCGUUAAAAAACGUCGCAUCCCGAACAGCUUAACACGGAUACUAUUUAUUUACAUCAGCAGGACCACUGGCUGACAAAGAACCGUUGAGGACAAGGCGGUUCACCCAAAGAGGCCUUUAGUAACCGGAUAGGAGCAAUGGACAUUCACAUGACGACGCACUGUGGAAGCCGAGAAACAGAUCCAAAAUGCCGGCUAAAUCGUUGACCCAGAUGGUUUAUCGACGAAGGAGCAGACUAUAUGUGGCCAAAUUAUCAAUGUGCAAACGUAAACACAAGUUGAAAAUGAAAUUGAAAUAAACAUAUUUUCCAUGAAAUAAAAACUAUUGAUACAAACUU